This 254-nucleotide ribosomal RNA is filed under the name uncultured bacterium. Its description in RNAcentral is "partial 16S ribosomal RNA". It matches the Rfam family "Bacterial small subunit ribosomal RNA", at positions 524 to 776 of the family's 1533-position model. The record is from RNAcentral.
UACGUAGGGUGCAAGCGUUGUCCGGAAUUAUUGGGCGUAAAGAGCUCGUAGGCGGUUUAUCGCGUCUGCUGUGAAAACCCGAGGCUCAACCUCGGGCCUGCAGUGGGUACGGGCAGACUAGAGUGCGGUAGGGGAGAUUGGAAUUCCUGGUGUAGCGGUGGAAUGCGCAGAUAUCAGGAGGAACACCAAUGGCGAAGGCAGAUCUCUGGGCCGUAAACUGACGCUGAGGAGCGAAAGCAUGGGGAGCGAACAGG